Molecule: RNA transcript, 6886 nt
Organism: Sander lucioperca (pikeperch)
Lineage: Eukaryota; Metazoa; Chordata; Actinopteri; Perciformes; Percidae
Gene: arhgap44a
Gene name: rho GTPase-activating protein 44
Exons: 22
Source: RefSeq, a predicted model, not a curated record
CUACUUGUCACUGCUGUCGCUCUCUGCCUGUGAGUGCCCGAGGUGAAUUGGUCCAGCAUCUCUGCGCAGGCAGUGGGGCCAAUGUAGAUGUAAAAAUAUAAUUUGAAAAUAUGUAAUCGUGGAAUAAGUUUUCGGCGUUGGCAGCUUGCGAUGAGGGAAGGGAAAUAUGGAAAAGAUCGGAUUUUAUGUUGCGCCUCUGUGGAGCACGGACCGUUAUAUUGAGAGAAAUAAUGCGGAAUAUUUCCCCCUGUAGGUGUUAACGCAGAAAAUACAAGAUGAAGAAGCAGUUCAAUCGGAUGCGACAGCUCGCCAACCAAACGGUGGGAAGGGCAGAAAAAACAGAGGUGUUAAGUGAGGAUCUUCUACAGGUGGAGAAGCGUCUGGAUCUGGUCAAGCAGGUGACACACAGCACUCACAAAAAGCUGACUGCCUGCCUGCAGGGUCAGCAAGGGACUGAUGUGGAGAAGAGAUCUGUCAAGUCACCUUCUAAAAAACUACCGCUCACCAUCCUGGCACAAUGUAUGGUAGAGGGGGCUGCAGUGUUGGGGGAUGACUCUCUCCUGGGGAAGAUGCUGAAGCUGUGUGGGGACACAGAAGAGAAGUUGGCCCAGGAGCUCAUCCAGUUUGAGUUUGAGAUAGAGAAAGAUGUGGUAGAGCCUCUCUAUGUGCUUGCUGAGGUGGACAUUCCCAACAUCCAGAAACAGAGGAAGCACUUAGCUAAACUUGUUUUGGACAUGGACUCUUCUCGAACAAGAUUUCAGCAGUCGUCCAAGUCAUCCAGUCACCCGAGCACACUGCAGCCAGGCGCCAAGUCAGAGUCCCUCAGAGAGGAGAUGGAGGAAGCAGCCAAUCGGAUGGAGAUUUGCAGGGAUCAAUUGUCAGCAGAUAUGUACAGUUUUGUGGCCAAAGAAAUAGACUAUGCAAAUUACUUCCAGACACUGAUAGAAACGCAAGCAGAAUAUCACAGGAAGUCAUUAGAGAUUCUUCACAGUAUCCUGCCCCAGAUUAAAGCUCACCAAGAGGCGUGGGUGGAGAAGCCGUCGUUUGGCAAGUCUCUGGAGGAACACCUGAAUAUAAGUGGGAGAGAGAUUGCCUUCCCCAUCGAAGCUUGUGUCACAGUGCUGUUAGAGUGUGGCAUGCAAGAGGAGGGCCUCUUCAGAGUGGCUCCGUCAGCCUCCAAGCUAAAGAAGCUGAAAGCAUCCCUGGACUGUGGAGUUCUGGAUGUGCAGGAGUACUCCGCCGACCCACACGCCAUUGCAGGGGCUCUGAAAUCAUACCUCCGUGAGCUCCCCGAGCCACUGAUGACCACUGAACUUUAUGAUGAAUGGAUUCAGGCCUCCAACAUUCAAGAUAUGGACAAGAGACUACAAGCAUUACUGGCAGCGUGUGAAAAACUCCCCACAGACAAUGCAAACAAUUUCAGAUAUCUAAUCAAAUUCUUAGCCAAGCUAAGUGACUACCAAGAUGAAAACAAGAUGACUCCCGGUAAUAUGGCGAUUGUUCUUGGCCCUAACUUGCUUUGGACACACACUGAACCAAACAUGACAGAGAUGAUGACCACCCUGUCCCUACAGAUUGUUGGCAUCAUUGAGCCCAUUAUCCAGCAUGCUGACUGGUUCUUCCCUGGAGAGAUUGAAUUCAACUUGACAGGCAGCUACGGCAGCCCGAUCCACACCAACCACAACUCCAACUACAGCUCCAUGCCCUCACCAGACAUGGACCAAUCUGAUCGCAAGCAGCAGCACGACCAGAGCCGACGCCCACUGAGCGUCGCCACUGACAACAUGAUGCUGGAGUUUUACAAGAAGGAUGGCAUUAGGAAGAUACAAAGUAUGGGCGUCCGGGUUAUGGAUACCUCCUGGGUGUCUCGUAAGGGUUCAACUACGCUGGCGCGCAAGACCUCCUCUACCCCUCCAGGCAUGCAAGGCCCUAGCUCCCCGGCAGACACUCUCAUCUCCGAGCAGCCCGGAGAGCUCGCCAUCUCCCCAUCCGCGACACCGCCACCUGGAGAGAGGGUUUGCUCAGACAACGUGUCGCCCAAUCGGCCGGACACCUCUCAUGCCCAUCCACCCCCAGGGGAGGACCGGCCACCCCCCCCUUACCCCAUCUCCUCGUGCUACACUGCCCCCCACCUCUUCUAUCCCAAACCCCCACCCUGCGCUCGCCCCGUGGCACCGGGUCCAGAGUCCCAGCCUCCCGCCUCCCCCCCGCCCCCACUGCGCUGGUCUGGCUUCACUCCCCCUGCCCCGCCCCCUUCCUCCUCUUCUUCUUCCUCCUCCUCGUCACUUGACAUCAAUUCGAACCCCAAACCCAGCUGUCUGCAUUUCCCCAAGCACAGCCCGCCUGGUGACAUGGUGAAUGUUCCCCCACCAGACACUAAUGCUUCAUCACUGUACAUCAAAACCCCCUUGGUACUAACCCGCCAUGACCAGUCCAUUGGCAACCCCCCUAACCUCCCUUCGUCCGCGCCCCCGCCGUGGGCUGCCUGUCCAUGUGCCCGAGAGAGAGGACCCCCCAGACUGACUAGUUCAUUGAAGAGUAAAGAGCUCUCACCUGUAACCGGACACAAAGCCAUCCAGGUGGCAGGUCCAACAGUCCCUCCCAGCUGUAGUCCUCAGAGCAGUAGCCAGUCCCCCCACUCCACAGAGCACAGUCCACACACCCUGCGCCAAGGUUCCAAGAAGUUGGCCCCUGUGCCUCCCAAGGUCCCUUACAGCCAGUCUUGCGGGAUGUCCGACCAGUCCACAGGUCAGCCGUCACCAGUCAGCCUGUCCCCCACACCUCCUAGCACCCCCUCCCCUUAUGGACUGGCCUGCCCUCCAGGGCAAGUGCCCCCAUCAUCCCCUGGGCAGACCCCAUUGGGAGCACCUCACUCUCUUUCGUCUCCACCCUCCCUGACUGGAACGCUCACCAAGUCGCGGCCCGCCCCUAAGCCCAGGCAGAGACCCAGUCUGCCCCCUCCUCAGCCGCCCACAGCCCCUCCGGGGUUUACUGGCAUGGCCAUGGCCCCAAUUCCCCAGCCCCUGGAGCAGGGCCUCCUGGAUGGACUGUCUCCCGGGGAGAGCAUGUCUACAGGUAAACAUCAACCCUUCGCAACAUCCCCUCCGCCACCACAGGUGGGGCUACAGAGGCCCUCUCUCAGACUUGCUGUGGCUCUGUCCAAUGGAGACGGUGGACGAGUGUAGGACUCUGUAGGACCUGUCACUGUAGAUAUAAAAGAUACCUUUCCCCUUUAUUGACUGUUCCCAAACGAAUGUCUGAAUGAAUAAAAGUUGCCUUUUAGACACAGAUGCCUGAGAAUGAUGUAAAUAUUAGCAUUCUGUGCUACUGUAGUGAGCCAAUCUCCUUGACCUAUGUAUUCAUUGCUUGUGUUAUGUGAUGAUGUUUCUGGGUAAUGUGUGGAAACAUCAGAGAAGCAUAGCUCGUCCUGCUUGUAUGGAAGUUGCCAUUAGAUUCAUCAUGUGCUCUCUGUUUAUCUGUGUUACCCAGACCCUCACUUGGCAGAGGUAGGUCAGAGGCUUACACACCAGUCCAGUCUCUCUUACUGCGUAGCAGUCGUGGAAACCUAGCCAGACAAACCCCACACUAUAUCUACAGUAUGAUGUUCUGAUGAUGAGGUGUUCUGUCAUUAUAUACCAAUCAUUCUGUCACUUUGCUAUAUUUAUCAUUCUCUCUCCCCCUGCUACUAUUGUGUACCUUGCAGCUGUGUGAGGCCAGGGAUUCAGUGGGGGCUAAGUGUGAGGGGGACUUUUAGGAUAUCUUCAAUUAUGAAAUCCCCUCCAUCAAUGUCAAUCUGGACUGCCUCAUCGAUGAGUUCAGCGGUGCCCCUUGCAGGAGGUCCGUGGCACUGACAGACUAUCCAGAGGGGGACGUUGUGCCUGAGGAGGAGCCACAGAGCACCACUCUAUGACCUAUGACCCUAAGGCAUCACAGCUUACAAGCACCCCUGUGGCCGUAUAUAUUCUUUAACUGUCGCCACCAUGGCCUGAUGGAAAAACCAUUUGGCCUCACCAAUGCCCACCUGAAAUCAGAACUCGAACACAUCUGCUAAAGGCUGCAAAGAAAUUCAUCUCUUACAAUUGCUCGCUAGUACACAAAUGUGACUACAACACAAAAAAAGACACCAAAAUGCCAUAGGAGGACAGUUGCCUUUAGGAGGAAAGACUGGAAUAUAGAUGAGUAUUACAUUCAAAGUUAUGUUUUUUAAUGCUUUGCUUUGUUCAUCUUUGUUUGAUACAGUGGUCUGUAUUUCUGUGAGUUUUUCAAUUUUUAUUUUUGCCUUAUUAGGACAUGCAAUCAAAUUGCAAUAUGAUAUUCACAAGUUGUACAACUUUUGGUAGGGGGAACUCAGAGCCUGACAUGGUUAGGAGCAAAGCCCGUCCUCAGGGUGAAACAGAGAGACAGAGAGUAGUCUUGUUAUUUUGCUCACAGGGUAUUCAAGCUUUGUGCACAUUAGGAAAAUGCUGAGCCGUAGAGACAGGUUUUGCAUGCAGGAUGAAACGUUUAAUGCAGUUUACUUCUUAUUGUCACACUCUUUACUUCCUCUCUUCUAUCACAUAUUACAACUGUAGUUCUUUAUCUGACAUUAACCUUCAUACAGGUAAGCUCACUUUAACUCACUUUAUACCAGCACAGAAUGAGAAGAAUGUUACUGUAAAUUCUUUUUUUGCAAAUGCACCACAAUGUGUUUGCAUGACAUGCCAAUAUGAACAAACUGCUUUGGAUCAAGGGCCUCAGAAAGGCAGUGUUUUAUUUUGUGUGAGUGUCUGUUGUUGUUGUUGUCAGUGAAGAGUAAAUUUAGACCACCCACGUGCUGUUACAGUUUGAUGAUAAUGGAUGAAUGACUACACUGCCUUUAGGUUCGUAUGAUUCUCUCUCUUAAUCUUGUUUCAAGUGCUUCAGGUUCAGUAACCUUUGACCCCCUAGUGUAAAUACAAAGACUGUACAUAAAUUUAUGUAUAUAAAUCUGAGAGGAAAAGUAUAUGUAAAAUGCAUAUCUUGAAUAUAUAUAUAUAUAUAUAUAUAUAUAUAUAUAUAUAUAAUAAUAAUAUAUGUGCUGAUAUUUAUCAUGUGUAGAAAAUGUAAUGAUUAAAAGAUUGCUGUUAUUUUUGUCCCUGCACACAAUGAACAGGUUUACUAUAGAUUCAUAAUGUUUCACCAGAUAACAAUGAUGCUGCAGCAGAAAUGCAGAAUGUUAUUUCUGCUAAAAAUCAAUUGUGGGUUUUCUAAUUCUGUGUCCUGAGCUUUGACUUCUAACACUCUUAAGCGCUAAUGAGUUCUUCUUUUUUUCUUUUAAUCAGUUAUUUAAUAGAUUCCUGUGUAAAUAAUUAGAUUACUUUUAGCACACUCUGACCAUUUAAUUAAUUCAUAAUAAGGAUAAAUGUAGUCGUAAGCCUAUAUUGUUGGACUGACUACAAAUAUAUAUACUUGUUCAAUUAGAAAAGCAGAUGUCAAAUUUGGCACAAAGUUAACAAUGAGUGCGUACUGUGUUGUUAUUCUCACCACAGACAAUUAAUCAGAGGUUUUUCAAGUUCACCAGAGAACAGAUGCUGCAGUGUCACUUUUUUAAUUCCAUAUAAAAUGUCUUAGGACUAUAAUUUUGUCAAUAAAAGUGCAAUUACAGUGUUUACUGAUCCACCUCAGUCCAAAAAAUGGUCAAAGUCACCCUUACCAAACCUACAGAAAAAAGCCAUUCAUUUUAUUGCGAAGCAAUUCAUUUCUUUUCCAGUUUGUUUUAUGUGUGAGUUUACGUUUGACUAAAUUAAUUCUGGAUCAACCUUUCUACAAAAGGGAUCUAUGGUAUGCCUCAGUGUGUGUUCUCAAUGGACUAUGUUUAUGAAGAUUUUGGUGAUGUUGAUAAUUAUAUUGAUAGUUGUGGUGAUUAUAUGACAGCAAUUGCAAGUGCCCUCACUCUGGUUGUUAUUUUGGAACUAUAGGCAUAAUUAAUGUGUAAUGGAGGUUUUAUUUUCUGUGCUGGAUCCAUACAUUUAUACGAGGAGGCAAGGGUAUAUCUCUCUGUGUGCAGACUGAAUGUGACUCAGAUUUCGGUAGGCUACCUGAUUUUGUAAUAACUAACAGGCAAAUGAAAGCUUGUAUUUGGAUGAAGGUUAGUUAGGGCCUGUUAGCAUGUAUUAUUAUCAUUGCAGGGCAGUAUUACUGUAAUGCUUUUGUGCAUCAUAACUGGAACUUACAGCCACUUAAAAGCAUGCAUUCAUAUUCAUUCUAGGUGUAAUUAUUAUGCUGCUUAAAAGAAGUAAAAAAAAACAACAACUCUGUACCCUCCCCCAAAUCAUAAUUUCAUCACAUAUCAUUUAUUCCAGUAAAUUAACUUUACAGCAAUUUUCAUUAGCGUAUUCAUUUACCAAAUGUUACACUGUUACAUAGUUUUAUCAAUCAUUUUAACUGUAGACCUACAUUUCCUAACUCACCUCACCAUCAAGUAUGUUGGUCUAAAGUAAAGCUCAAUUUGUUUACAUUUUGUGGGGGGGAUUUUAAACGAAAAAAGGAAAAUCUGAAAAAGUGUGAUGCAUGCGCUUAGAUAGUCUUUUGAUAAUCAACGUUUUGUGUCAAUCACUGUCUUUUUAGGGAUUCUAAGAGGGGUAAGAUGUGGACUCAGAAUGAGAAUGUGGAUCACAAUAAAUAGUCCUUUGUUGGGUAUUGAGCAAUACGUUAGAGGAGUGGAUGUUGCCUGUGGAUGUACUGCCUCCUUCUGCUUUCACUAGUGUACAAAUAAAAUCUGCCGCUUGUCAAGCCCACCAUGCCCAGCCCUUCCUCCUCUGCUUAGCAUAUCAAGUGGAACACAGUGUGUACUGUGAAGCCUACCCGCAAUCCUUAUCAGAAUGUCAGAAAUAAAUAUAUAUUAAACUCUACAUUUUUAAUAAUCUCA